Brassica rapa (field mustard) is the source of this 3625-nucleotide long non-coding RNA. RefSeq lists it as uncharacterized. Lineage: Eukaryota; Viridiplantae; Streptophyta; Magnoliopsida; Brassicales; Brassicaceae. The record is from RefSeq and is a predicted model, not a curated record.
GACCAUGAGCGUGGAAGAUAAAGAGCAAUUCUCUCUCACCAAAAGACCAAACCUCUCUUCUCUUUUUUUGUCUUUUUUUUUUGUUUUUGGUUUAAAGCAAACCUCUCUUCUCUUAUCUCAAAAGAUUAUGUGUAAUUAAUAAAUAGAAAAUUAUUAAUCUCUCCUUAAUCCCAGGAAGAAUAUAGAAAAAAAUGUCUAAAUUAUCGUAUAAUCUCAUCUUCUCGAUUAUCAUCUUGGUCUUCUUGUGUUUGGGUUUGAGAUCAUCAGCGUUUACGAAUCUCAAUACCUUAAGCUUCGAAGAAUCACUUUCUCCUCUAUUCGGUGAUGCCAAUCUCGUCCGUUCUCCUGAUGAUCUCUCCGUUCGCCUCCUCCUCGAUAAGUACACCGGUUCUGGUUUCAUAUCAUCGAAUAUGUAUCAACAUGGAUUUUACAGCUCUAUGAUCAAACUUCCCGCCGAUAUAUCAAGGAACAAUCACACCUAUUUCAAGAUCAAUUGAAUUCGCAGAUAAAUUUCCUGACGAGUUAAGAGAAAAGACCCAAUUACAAAGAUUUUUAGGAUGUCUAAACUAUGUUUCAGACUUCUUACCCAAUCUUAGGAAAACAAUUCAACCAUUAUUUCAACGGUUACAAAAUAAUCCAAAACCAUGGACUAAUCAACAUACCCUUUUAGUCAAACAAGUUAAGCAAAAGGUUAAAACUCUUCCAUGCCUUUCCAUACCAAAUCCUGAAGCUGACAUGAUAGUUGAAACUGAUGCUUCAGAAAUAGGUUAUGGUCGAAUAUGUAUCAACAUGGAUUGCUAAACUGGUUGUUAUUAUCGGUUACUUUUUUUCUCAAAAAAGAUAUUAGCGGUUACUUAUUUGGAUUAUGUUUCUGAAAAACUAUACAACAUUAUACAUAUAUGAUGUUCUUUGUAAAUAUAACAUAUUUAUUUGCGCUAAACUAAGUUUUGUAUGUUAUUCGAAAAUGUUCUUAAUAAACUUAGACAUAAAAACACAUCCCUAAAAAAUCGCAACACCAGAAAAGCUGUAUACUCUGUGUUAUAAAUCUUUUUUCGACCCUUAUCUUUCCACCUCAUAUGUGAUUCUUACUUUGAUGUCAUAUUCGUUUCCAUAGUUCCUAUAAAAACGAAAAAUGUGCUUGAAGUUUAUGAAACAAUAUCUAUAAGAAUAUUCUGAUAGAUAAUGUUGAAAGAAAAACAAAACGUUUAUUUUUAUUUGUUGAAUGCAGAAGUUAGCAACAAUUGAACACAGCGGGCCAAUAGUGAUUGUGUGUACAGAUGGUAAUGGAAUCACUCUCUUGUCUAAAAGAAAAGAGAAAAGGACAAAAGAAAGACAGAUUGCUUCCUUAGUAAUACAAAGGGAAAAUAAAUUCAGCCUCCAUUUCUAAGUAGUACGUACCACUAUAUUUUCACAUUAUGAUCAAUAUACUGUUCUUAGAAAGGUACUAACUUAUACAUUCUACACAAGCUAAAAAUAUAGUGGUACGUACUACGUAAUGCAGAACUAAUUAAAAUUAACAUGAUGUUUCUUUGCGGCUCGUAUCACAUAAUAUCACAAGUCUCCUAGCUUUAGUUUUUUUCUUUUUUUUUUUGAACUUUUCCUAGCUUUAGUUUAUGAAAAAAAAAUCGUUAUACAACUUAUUAGCAGAUUGCGAUAUAAAAUUAAACACAGUUUUGUAUUGUAGUUAUGUAAGUUUAAGACUGUGUCUUUAUAACUUUCGAAAAAGUAUUUUUAUAUUGUAAUAAUAUUGACAUGUAUGCUUUUUGUUUGGCAAACAAUAUAGACAUGCAUGUUUCUUUUAUUUUCUUUUCUUUUCUUUUUGUCAGCAAAUAGAUUAGUUUGUUGUUCUCAUAUUUGUAGAAAACUUGUAAAUAAAUUUAUUGUUUGAUUUGUAUAAAUAAGUAGAUUGCAAAAUAAUCAAAAUACAGACAACCUUACACAUCUGUGAUUUAUGGUUGAUUUGUAUAAAUAAGUAUAUUGCAAAAUAAUAUAAAUACAGACAACCUUAUACAACUACGAUUUAUGCACCAUAAACGAUUUAACUAUUUUAUUAGCAGAUCAUGAUAAUAUACCGUUAUUACUCAUAAUUAAAAUCCAUGGGUUAGUUUUGUCUUCUAAUUGCUUUGCGCUAAUAAGUUGAUGGCCAGAUGCAUGCAUAGAUGUUAGAGAGUAGAGAGGUUGGUAAACCAAAUCAACUAACUACACAUUUACAUAUACAGCCCUGUCGCACAUAUAAAUCAUGAUUUUUAUUUGUAUAUUGAGAGUUGGUAACUAAAUUUAGAAGGAUUAAUUAGCACAAUUGAAGUGAAGUAUGAUCGUAAGCUUUUAAAACGAUUAGUUUCUUUUGUCUGGUCUCGGUAGUUCAUUUAGGUAUUUUUGAGAAUUAUUCUAAAGUGGCUCACGCUUAAAUAUAAGAGUAUCAAAACUGGUUACUCAUAUAAUAAUUAUUUGGGUGUUAUGGGGAUUUGACGUAUCUUUUUUUUGGCUUAAUAUUUGACGUAUCUGGUGCGGCUAACUAAUUAAAGGAAAUGGACCAAAGCUAAUCAAAUGUGUAAUAUGUAUCAGUAUAUUGUCCUGAAAUUUGUUACCACAAAAGUAAUGUCAUGUUAAUCAUUGUCUAUCUUAUUAUGUUCAUGACGCUACCCAAUCUUUGAAUUUAUUAAGAAUAUCAUAAUAAUAUUGUGAAUACGUAUAUAAAGCGAAAGUGAACAAAAGAUAUAUAUAUAGAAAGAGGAAACAUAACUAAUUAAAGUAUUAUGAUAGAAAAUCAUAACUAAUUAAAGUACAAAAGAGAGCAUGGAAAUGUUUACGUUUGGCUGUCCAUAGUUUUGGAAUCUAUACCUUCUUUUAUAUUAUUUGUUGUCAACGACCUUUCCAUUAAUUUAAAGUGUUGAUUAGUGUAACUACCUAAUAUGAGCAACUACACGUAAAUUUAUAUAUUUAUAUAUAAAAUCAUAUUUUAGUGAUGAAGAUGACCGGCUAUAAUGUACAGUAUGCAUGGGAAUACAGAUAAAAGACUCUUUGACAUCCAUUUCAUACUCAAUUGCAUACUUAGACCAUGAUUAAUCCCAGUUUCUUAACUCAGGUUCUUAGCUUCGACUAAGAAACGGUUCUUAGCUUUUUUAGAUUUUAACUAAGAAAAAUUAAGAACCGUCUUUUAAAUAAGAGAUAUAAGAGCCGUUUCUUAGCCGAAAAAUGUAAAAAAAAAAAAUAUCAAAUCAUGAGUUAAGAACCCCAACUAAAAAACUGGGGUUAAUCAUACCCUUUAAAACCGCUUAUAAUUCUCUAAAACCGGCUAAACCUGCAUCUCAAAGUUAAUCAUGCCUUGACACCAUUGAAACUGAGAUCCAGUACUUCUAAUUCUCUAAAACCGGCUGAACCUGCAUCUCAAAGUUUCUUUUAGUUCUUGUUUCGUUCUGGAAAGACAAAACUAAACUAGGUUUUGUUAACAUAUAUAUACCUUGACCGGACAAGAAGAUGAAACUGUUGUCCUUCAAGUUUAACACUUUCAAGUUUCUCAUGUUUGCAAGUCCUGCCACACACCAAAACAAGAAACCGUCAAGAUCAUCUCCCAUUUACUUAUAAUACAAAAAAAUUCUAAUAACAUUUAGAAGAAAUGUAUAAC